This 508-nucleotide ribosomal RNA is filed under the name Fusarium oxysporum. Its description in RNAcentral is "eukaryotic LSU rRNA". The stretch from base 141 to 294 matches the Rfam family "5.8S ribosomal RNA". The record is from RNAcentral. Lineage: Eukaryota; Fungi; Ascomycota; Sordariomycetes; Hypocreales; Nectriaceae.
GAGCUACCCCAAACCCCUGUGACAUACCACUUGUUGCCUCGGCGGAUCAGCCCGCUCCCGGUAAAACGGGACGGCCCGCCAGAGGACCCCUAAACUCUGUUUCUAUAUGUAACUUCUGAGUAAAACCAUAAAUAAAUCAAAACUUUCAACAACGGAUCUCUUGGUUCUGGCAUCGAUGAAGAACGCAGCAAAAUGCGAUAAGUAAUGUGAAUUGCAGAAUUCAGUGAAUCAUCGAAUCUUUGAACGCACAUUGCGCCCGCCAGUAUUCUGGCGGGCAUGCCUGUUCGAGCGUCAUUUCAACCCUCAAGCACAGCUUGGUGUUGGGACUCGCGUUAAUUCGCGUUCCUCAAAUUGAUUGGCGGUCACGUCGAGCUUCCAUAGCGUAGUAGUAAAACCCUCGUUACUGGUAAUCGUCGCGGCCACGCCGUUAAACCCCAACUUCUGAAUGUUGACCUCGGAUCAGGUAGGAAUACCCGCUGAACUUAAGCAUAUCAUAAGCCGGGAGGAA